Molecule: ribosomal RNA, 3008 nt
Filed under: Candidatus Woesebacteria bacterium
Lineage: Bacteria; Candidatus Woeseibacteriota
Description: 23S ribosomal RNA
Rfam family: Bacterial large subunit ribosomal RNA
Source: RNAcentral
AACCCGUUGAUGUUGCAAUAUCAUGGGAUGACUUGUGGAUAGUGGUAAUAUGCCAACCGAACCUGGAGAUAGCUGGUUCUCCCCGAAAGGUCUAUAGGGACCGUGCCGGGCGAGGCGUUAUUGGGGGUAGAGCUACUGGAUGGAUAAGGGAGGGCAACCAACUUUAUUCAACCAAACUCCGAAUACCAAUGUACGCUAUCCCGGUAGACAGCCACAUCGGGCUAAGCUGAUGUGACUAAAGGGAAACAACCCAGACUCUCGGCUAAGGUCUUUAAGUUUCCGCAGAUUUUUCUGCGGCGGUGAUUGCGAGUUUCUCGCUUUCGCUGCAGCUAAGUUUGAAAGGAAGUUUUCUUCUUCAGACAGCUAGGAGGUUGGCUCAGAAGCAGCCAUCCUUUAAAGAAAGCGUAACAGCUCACUAGUUGAAGGAGAAAGCGCCUAAAAUUUAUCGAGGAUAAGCUGAACACCGAAGCCAGAGACCUCGUCCUUUGGACGAGCAGAUUCGAAGUAUUGAUAUCGAAAUUCUAGAAAAAUAUUUUUGUGUUUUUUAGAAUUUCGUAUUUAUAAUUUCGGAUUUUCUCGACCAGAGGUCGAGGUGGUAGGGGAGCGUUCCAAAAGCAGUGAAGCCAAAUCGUAAGGUUUGGUGGAGUUUUUGGAAGUGAGAAUGCCGGCAUGAGUAGCGUACAAUCUCGGUGAGAAUCCGAGACGCCGAACACCCAAGGUUUCCGCUCAGACGUUCGUCGGGAGCGGGUUAGUCGGUACCUAAGGCAAGUCCCGAUUGUAUCGGGAGUAGCUGAUGGAUGACUGGUUAAAAUUCCAGUAUUUAUUUUGAAUCGCCAAACCUUGUGCUUCGCACAAGGAAAUUCCAAUACAACAAUCAACAAACAACAAACAACUGUCAACAACCAAACAAAUUACAAAACUUUUAUAAUUUGAAGUUUUGGGUAUUGUUUGUGAUUUGGAAUUUGUAAUUUGGGAUUUUCUUGAGCGAAGCUCAAGGUAGCUGGGGGUUGACAGGACGGGAUGUCCAAGGCCUACUUGUGAAUAUAGUAGGUGCAAGCUGUGAGGAAGGGUGGGUUGGAAAAUCCGCUUACCUGUUUAUUCAAGCAGCGAUGCAAAGUCUUGCGAGAGCAAGGCGAUUUUGGUGCAUUCUGUCUUUCAAAAAAGGCUCGCAGCGAGAUUCAAAGUAAGCCGUACCGUAAACCAACACAGGUGGGUUGGACGAGUAGUCUAAGGCGGGCGAGAGAAGGAGGCUUAAGGAACUCGGCAAACAAGCUGGACGUAAGUUCGCAAGAUGUCCUACCUCGGUGCGCAGCACCGAGCUACCAACUAACAACAACCAACAAUCAACGAAAUAAUUCUUGUUGUAGGUUGUCUGUUUUAUGUUGGUGGUUGAGUGCUGUGCACUUGGGGUCGAAGCUAAAGUUUGUCAGUCGACUGUUUAUCAAAAACACAGGUCCGUGCAAAGGCGUAAGCCGAAGUAUACGGGCUGACGCCUGCCCAGUGCCGGUAAGUUAAGGGGAGGUGUGCAUAGCACACAACUUUCAACAACCAACAAUCAACCGACAACUAAAGGGUUUGAGAUUGGGAGUUGAUGGCUGUGCGCUAUGCGCACCGAACUCAAGCUCCGGUAAACGGCAGCAGUAACUAUAACUGUUCUACGGUGGAACUAAGCCGCCGUAGUAAAACCUAGCUAUAUGCUGGAAAAUCCUGUUAUUCGAGAACUACUAUGGUAUAUUUUUUCUGUAGGGAAUGUAUACCAAGUAAAAAAGUUCAUCGUAGGGAUAAUCAGCAGGAAAGACCGAGUUUAGAAGUGAAAAGUUAGAUGUGUGAAGUUGGAUUUAUGAAACGAGAAUCGAGAUGGUUAGAUAGUUAUUAACUAAAGAAAAACUUAAUCUCAUCUCACACUUCAUUUUCCAUCUUCCCAUCUCACAUUUCUUAUUUCUAAAUCGGAAUCCUCAGAGACUAUACGCUGGGGCUUGAGAUUUUCUCAAGUAAGAUAUAGUCCGAUCUCCAAUGAGAAUUGGAGUUAACAUUUGAGCGAAGUUCCUUGUCGGGUAAGUUCCGACCUGCACGAAAGGCGUAACGAGCUGACAACUGUCUUAAGCCUUCACUCGGCGAAAUUGCGAUGGCUGUGAAGACGCGGCCUACUUCCACCAGGACAAAAAGACCCCGUGGAGCUUUACUGCAGUUUAGUAUUGAUUUGGGUGUUUCAAUUGUCAAGAAUAGGAGGGACCCCUCCUUUGGAGGGGAACAGUGUGAUACCUCUCUUUGAGGCACUGCAAAUCUUACCUGAGAACCUUGCAUACAGGUUCGGGGAAAGUGCUAGAUGGGCAGUUUUACUGGGGCGGUACCCUGCUAAAUUGUAACGCAGGGGCACAAAGGUCAGCUUGCUGCGAAUGAAAACCGCAGUGGACGUGCAAAGGCGUAAGCUGGCUUAACUGCGAGUGCGACGGCACAAGCAGGUGCGAAAGCAGGUCUUAGUGAUCCUCCGAUGUCAUGUGGGUGACGCGGAGCUUAACGGAUAAAAGCUACCCCGGGGAUAACAGAGUAGUCGCGCCCGAGCGUCCACAGCGACGGCGCGGAUCGCUACCUCGAUGUCGGCUCACCGCAUCCUGGGGCUGGAGAAGGUCCCAAGGGUUGGUCUGUUCGCCCAUUAAAGCGGUACGCGAGCUGGGUUCAGAACGUCGCGAGACAGUUCGGACUCUAUCCGGUGGAAGCGUUGAAUCUUGAGGGGAGCUCUCCUCAGUACGAGAGGACCAGGAGGGAGGAAUCCCUGGUGUUCCGGUUGUUGCGUCAGCAGCAUUGCCGGGUAGCCACAUUCCUUGCGGAUAACCGCUGAAAGCAUCUAAGCGGGAAGCCCACCCCAAGAUCAGGAUUCGUUAUAGACCCCUGGAAGAAUACCAGGUUAAUCGGCUGGCAGUGGAAGAGGCGUAAGCCUUUAAGCUUACCAGUGCGAAUUGGUCGAAGACCUUUUUCCUUUCCUAUUUUUCUCUUUCGCUUUGCCAAUG